ACAUAAGGUCAUCCAAGGACUUUUUUUCGCUUUAGUCUUUAUUGCUUUUAUGCAUACACAAAUAAAACACAAAUAUAACAACGAUACAUUCAACAAUGCAGUGAAACGUACAACAGUGCAGCCGGGG
Amblyraja radiata (thorny skate) is the source of this 127-nucleotide long non-coding RNA. RefSeq lists it as uncharacterized. The record is from RefSeq and is a predicted model, not a curated record. The transcript is spliced from 3 exons. Lineage: Eukaryota; Metazoa; Chordata; Chondrichthyes; Rajiformes; Rajidae.